Molecule: transfer RNA, 77 nt
Filed under: Opitutaceae bacterium
Lineage: Bacteria; Pseudomonadati; Verrucomicrobiota; Opitutia; Opitutales; Opitutaceae
Description: tRNA-Lys
Rfam family: tRNA
About the family: Transfer RNA (tRNA) molecules are approximately 80 nucleotides in length. Their secondary structure includes four short double-helical elements and three loops (D, anti-codon, and T loops).
Source: RNAcentral
GGGGGUGUAGCUCAGCGUUUCAGAGCAGCCGGUUCUUACCCGGCAGGUCGUGGGCGAAAAUCCCACCGCCCCCACCA